UCUUGGAACAAUGACCAGAAAGGAGUAAUCCAACAGCACAGAAUGAAGAUCUGAUGUUUUCUCCUUCUCACCCAAACUUCCUCCAUUUUGCUUCUCUAAAACAAAAAGCCCACUAUGCAGAGAGGUCUGGUGGCACUGGGAGCAGAACACCAGCAAAGCUAGAGCACUGCUUAUGAUAUGAUAGAGUAAAAUAUUCCAGCUUGAAGCUCUACAGGUCAUAGCUCAGCUGCAAGGAAAUGCAACUGUACUCAAAACAAAUCACAGUUGGGGAAGGGGGGAUAAAACACAUCAUGCUCUCAUCACAAUAAAAGCUACUUUGAUCCACUUUCAAAACAACGCAAUCUCACUUGCAACUCUCAUCACAGUAUGAACAGAACUAAAUAUAUUGAACAAACUAGCCCAUACUUGUCUCUUUCUCUCUUUCUCUCUCUCACU
Non-coding RNA from Tinamus guttatus (white-throated tinamou), 435 nucleotides. The record is from RefSeq and is a predicted model, not a curated record. Lineage: Eukaryota; Metazoa; Chordata; Aves; Tinamiformes; Tinamidae.